Molecule: non-coding RNA, 132 nt
Organism: Podarcis lilfordi (Lilford's wall lizard)
Lineage: Eukaryota; Metazoa; Chordata; Lepidosauria; Squamata; Lacertidae
Source: the annotation of a GenBank genome assembly
CUGAGGUAGUCCUAUCUAUAUACAUACUCUCUCUCUCUCUCUCUCUCUCUGUCUCUCUCUCUCUCUCACACACACACACACACACACAGAGAGAGAGAGAGAGAGAGAGAGAGAGAGAGAUUCGUGCAUGUG